GGGUUGUGAGGUUAAGCGACUAAGCGUACACGGUGGAUGCCCUGGCAGUCAGAGGCGAUGAAGGGCGUGCUAAUCUGCGAUAAGCGCCGGUAAGGUGAUAUGAACCGUUAUAACCGGCGAUACCCGAAUGGGGAAACCCAGUGUGACUCGUCACACUAUCAUUAACUGAAUCCAUAGGUUAAUGAGGCGAACCGGGGGAACUGAAACAUCUAAGUACCCCGAGGAAAAGAAAUCAACCGAGAUUCCCCCAGUAGCGGCGAGCGAACGGGGAGGAGCCCAGAGCCUGAAUCAGCAUGUGUGUUAGUGGAAGCGUCUGGAAAGGCGCGCGAUACAGGGUGACAGCCCCGUACACAAAAGCGCAUGUGCUGUGAGCUCGAUGAGUAGGGCGGGACACGUGGUAUCCUGUCUGAAUAUGGGGGGACCAUCCUCCAAGGCUAAAUACUCCUGACUGACCGAUAGUGAACCAGUACCGUGAGGGAAAGGCGAAAAGAACCCCGGCGAGGGGAGUGAAAAAGAACCUGAAACCGUGUACGUACAAGCA
This 541-nucleotide ribosomal RNA is filed under the name Salmonella enterica. RNAcentral's name for it is "partial 23S ribosomal RNA". It matches the Rfam family "Bacterial large subunit ribosomal RNA", at positions 1 to 572 of the family's 2925-position model. RNAcentral also lists the same sequence under 1 other name. The record is from RNAcentral. Lineage: Bacteria; Pseudomonadati; Pseudomonadota; Gammaproteobacteria; Enterobacterales; Enterobacteriaceae.